RNAcentral lists this ribosomal RNA (520 nucleotides) under uncultured Glomus. RNAcentral describes it as "SSU rRNA". It matches the Rfam family "Eukaryotic small subunit ribosomal RNA", at positions 569 to 1091 of the family's 1831-position model. The record is from RNAcentral. Lineage: Eukaryota; Fungi; Glomeromycota; Glomeromycetes; Glomerales; Glomeraceae.
AGCAGCCGCGGUAAUUCCAGCUCCAAUAGCGUAUAUUUAAGUUGUUGCAGUUAAAAAGCUCGUAGUUGAAUUUCGGGGUCAGUAGGUCGGUCGUGCCACUGGUAUGAACUGGUUUUACUGAUUCCUCCCUCUUGAAGAACUGUAAUGCCAUUAAUUUGGUGUUGCAGGGAAUCAGGACUGUUACUUUGAAAAAAUUAGAGCGUUUAAAGCAGGCUUUAGCUUGAAUACAUUAGCAUGGAAUAAUGAAAUAGGACGUUUGAUCCUAUUUUGUUGGUUUCUAGGAUUGACGUAAUGAUUAAUAGGGAUAGUUGGGGGCAUUAGUAUUCAAUUGUCAGAGGUGAAAUUCUUGGAUUUAUUGAAGACUAACUACUGCGAAAGCAUUUGCCAAGGAUGUUUUCAUUAAUCAAGAACGAAAGUUAGGGGAUCGAAGACGAUCAGAUACCGUCGUAGUCUUAACCAUAAACUAUGCCGACUAGGGAUCGGAUGAUGUUAAUUUUUAAUGACUCAUUCGGCGCCUUAC